Molecule: long non-coding RNA, 311 nt
Filed under: Homo sapiens (human)
Lineage: Eukaryota; Metazoa; Chordata; Mammalia; Primates; Hominidae
Description: non-protein coding lnc-HGSNAT-11:1
Source: RNAcentral
AUGUCACUGCUGAGCCUGUCCUGGCUGGGUCUCAGGUGAGUGGCAGCAUCCCCUUGACUGCUCCUGCUGGCUCCUGGUCUGGACCUACACUUUCUAUGACAACUGCUGGUAUCUCUAGUGUUUUCUGUAGCCUCUGAUUUGGAACUGGUUUGGAGGUCACCUGGGCCUGGUGACUGUAGCAGCAGGCUGGCUCUAAGGUCUCAGAGUCACCCCCACAGAGCAAGGCUUGAGGAUUCUGACUCAGCUGGUGGCCACCUUCACAUGAGGCUUUAUGAGGUGGACAGGUCUCAUCUUUCCUAUCAUCAGUUUGU